RNAcentral lists this transfer RNA (72 nucleotides) under Salvia splendens (bonfire salvia). It matches the Rfam family "tRNA". Rfam says of the family: Transfer RNA (tRNA) molecules are approximately 80 nucleotides in length. Their secondary structure includes four short double-helical elements and three loops (D, anti-codon, and T loops). Further hydrogen bonds mediate the characteristic L-shaped molecular structure. tRNAs have two regions of fundamental functional importance: the anti-codon, which is responsible for specific mRNA codon recognition, and the 3' end, to which the tRNAs corresponding amino acid is attached (by aminoacyl-tRNA synthetases). tRNAs cope with the degeneracy of the genetic code in two manners: having more than one tRNA (with a specific anti-codon) for a particular amino acid; and 'wobble' base-pairing, i.e. permitting non-standard base-pairing at the 3rd anti-codon position. The record is from Rfam by way of RNAcentral. Lineage: Eukaryota; Viridiplantae; Streptophyta; Magnoliopsida; Lamiales; Lamiaceae.
GUGUUUGUAGUCCAGCGGUUAGGAUUAUUGCCUUCCAAGCAAUAGACCCGGGUUCAAGUCCCGGUAAACGCA